GUGUUUUAUGAGAAGAGAGGCUAACACUACUUUCGAUAAGGAUGGAAGAGGUUCUGAUGGUCUUUACAGAAUAUAUAGUUAAAGCAUUGCUACUUACUCUGUGCCAUCUAACCAAGUGAGAUA
This is a small nuclear RNA of Monodelphis domestica (gray short-tailed opossum), 123 nucleotides long. Lineage: Eukaryota; Metazoa; Chordata; Mammalia; Didelphimorphia; Didelphidae. The record is from Ensembl.